Molecule: long non-coding RNA, 985 nt
Organism: Phyllostomus hastatus (greater spear-nosed bat)
Lineage: Eukaryota; Metazoa; Chordata; Mammalia; Chiroptera; Phyllostomidae
Exons: 4
Source: RefSeq, a predicted model, not a curated record
AUUUGAGACUCGUGAUAGUUCUCGGGGCACUUCCUGCCCUGUGCUGGAAAAGGAAGACGACUGUUCGAACUGACCAGGAGGCAAAAUAUUUCCACGCCGCCGGGACAGAAGGAAACAUCUCGUGGGCUUGGUUCCCAUCAGCACACGUCCACCAGCCCGGCUUCUGGAAAGGAGCAGUGCUUCUGCAUGUUCUUCCCCAAAACAUGGUGCCCUGGGAACGGACUCUGAAGUACAUCAGAAAACCAGGCAACGGCAUAUAUUGCUGCACAGUGUCAAGAUGCUAUUCUCUGCUUUGUACCCUUACCACAUGUCCAUCCUAAAGACAUGCAGCACUUGAUAACAGCCACUGGGGGGCAGACUUCCACAUGGCACUGACUGACCAGCAGGGACUACUUCAGAAGCAUCGGGAAGCAGACAGCAAGUGGAAGCUGAAAUUGAAGUCCUGGGAGAUUUCUGAAAAUAUUACGAGCUUACAAUAUUCAUUUAUUUUUUAAAUGGCACAUACCUACUUAUCAUAGGGACUGUGGUUGGUUUUCUUAUCUGCCUCUUUCUAGCAUGACCCUGUCCUUCCCUCCCCCUCACUGCCAUGGAAACUGAUGUGACUUUGAAACGGAUUUGUGCCAUUUCUCUUCUGGUUCGACGUCACGCAGCCUUUGUGGAGAAUUAGAGGUAACUUCAAUUCACCUCUCAUUCCUCACUUUUUGUCCUCCAAACUUGAUAACGGCUUCCUUCCUAGGAAAGAUAAAAUUCCAGAGCCUCUCCUCCCAUUGAACUUCAUUCUCCUUUCACUUCUGAGUACUGAACCACCUCAUAAUUCUAAUUCUUCACAUGAAGUUCUCCUAGUAGACUUCCUGUCCUUUUUCAGUUGUUCUCAUGGAUAAGAAGAUGAAAUGUGAGUUGGAAGAUAAUAUUAUAAAGUCCAUUUUCAUCUGAAUGAACAAGCCACCAAAAGAGUUCUAAUUAAGGCUUCAUGAUCAGGCUGGGG